RNAcentral lists this non-coding RNA (954 nucleotides) under Petruichthys brevis. Its description in RNAcentral is "12S rRNA". It matches the Rfam family "Bacterial small subunit ribosomal RNA". The record is from RNAcentral. Lineage: Eukaryota; Metazoa; Chordata; Actinopteri; Cypriniformes; Nemacheilidae.
CAAAGGCUUGGUCCUGACUUUACUAUCAGCUUUAACAUAAAUUACACAUGCAAGUAUCCGCAGCCCUGUGAGGAUGCCCUUAAUCCCCCGCCCGGGGACGAGGAGCAGGCAUCAGGCACAACACCUUUAGCCCAAGACGCCUUGCCAAGCCACACCCCUAAGGGAAUUCAGCAGUGAUAGACAUUAAGCCAUAAGUGUAAACUUGACUUAGCCAAUGUUAAGAGGGCCGGUAAAACUCGUGCCAGCCACCGCGGUUAUACGAGAGACCCCAGUUGAUAGACACGGCGUAAAGGGUGGUUAAGAAGAGUAAAAAUUAAAGCCAAAGGGCCUCUUGGCCGUCAUACGCUCCCGAGCGUCCGAAGUCCAAUAAACGAAAGUAGCUUUAACACAGCCCGCCUGACCCCACGAAAGCUGAGAAACAAACUGGGAUUAGAUACCCCACUAUGCUCAGCCGUAAACCCAGACGUUAUCCCACAACAGACGUCCGCCAGGGUACUACAAGCGUAGCUUAAAACCCAAAGGACUUGGCGGUGCCUCAGACCCCCCUAGAGGAGCCUGUUCUAGAACCGAUAACCCCCGUUAAACCUCACCACUUCUAGUCAUUCCCGCCUAUAUACCGCCGUCGUCAGCUUACCCUGUGAAGGACUAACAGUAAGCUAAAUGAAUAUAAUCCAAAACGUCAGGUCGAGGUGUAGCGCACGAAGUGGGAAGAAAUGGGCUACAUUUUCUAUUAUAGAAUAUUUACGAACAGUACCCUGAAAUAAAUACUCAAAGGAGGAUUUAGUAGUAAAAAGGAAAUAGAGCGUCCUUUUGAACCCGGCUCUGAGGCGCGUACACACCGCCCGUCACUCUCCCCUGUCACACAGCAACAAACGUUCAUAACACCCAAGCACUGACAAGGGGAGGCAAGUCGUAACAUGGUAAGUGUACCGGAAGGUGCACUUGGAUCAAACC